GAUGAACGCUGGCGGCGUGCCUAAUACAUGCAAGUCGAGCGAACGGACGAGAAGCUUGCUUCUCUGAUGUUAGCGGCGGACGGGUGAGUAACACGUGGAUAACCUACCUAUAAGACUGGGAUAACUUCGGGAAACCGUAGCUAAUACCGAUAAUAUUUUGAACCGCAUGGUUCAAAAGUGAAAGACGGUCUUGCUGUCACUUAUAGAUGGAUCCGCGCUGCAUUAGCUAGUUGGUAAGGUAACGGCUUACCAAGGCAACGAUGCAUAGCCGACCUGAGAGGGUGAUCGGCCACACUGGAACUGAGACACGGUCCAGACUCCUACGGGAGGCAGCAGUAGGGAAUCUUCCGCAAUGGGCGAAAGCCUGACGGAGCAACGCCGCGUGAGUGAUGAAGGUCUUCGGAUCGUAAAACUCUGUUAUUAGGGAAGAACAUAUGUGUAAGUAACUGUGCACAUCUUGACGGUACCUAAUCAGAAAGCCACGGCUAACUACGUG
This 496-nucleotide ribosomal RNA is filed under the name uncultured bacterium. Its description in RNAcentral is "partial 16S ribosomal RNA". It matches the Rfam family "Bacterial small subunit ribosomal RNA", at positions 28 to 507 of the family's 1533-position model. The record is from RNAcentral.